RNAcentral lists this ribosomal RNA (258 nucleotides) under uncultured bacterium. RNAcentral's name for it is "partial 16S ribosomal RNA". It matches the Rfam family "Bacterial small subunit ribosomal RNA", at positions 98 to 354 of the family's 1533-position model. The record is from RNAcentral.
CGGGACGGGUGAGUAACGCGUGGAGAACCUGCCGUAUACGUGGGGGAUAACACUUAGAAAUAGGUGCUAAUACCGCAUUAAGCGCACAGCUUCGCAUGAAGCAGUGUGAAAAACUCCGGUGGUAUACGAUGGAUCCGCGUCUGAUUAGCUGGUUGGCGGGGUAACAGCCCACCAAGGCGACGAUCAGUAGCCGGCCUGAGAGGGUGAACGGCCACAUUGGGACUGAGACACGGCCCAAACUCCUACGGGAGGCAGCAG